This 465-nucleotide ribosomal RNA is filed under the name uncultured bacterium. RNAcentral describes it as "partial 16S ribosomal RNA". It matches the Rfam family "Bacterial small subunit ribosomal RNA", at positions 28 to 507 of the family's 1533-position model. The record is from RNAcentral.
GACGAACGCUGGCGGCGUGCUUAACACAUGCAAGUCGAACGGAAAGGCCCCUUUGGGGGUACUCGAGUGGCGAACGGGUGAGUAACACGUGAGUAACCUGCCCUUGACUUCGGGAUAACUUCAGGAAACUGGGGCUAAUACCGGAUAGGAAUCCUUGCUGCAUGGUGGGGGUUGGAAAGCUUCGGCGGUUUUGGAUGGACUCGCGGCUUAUCAGCUUGUUGGUGGGGUAGUGGCUUACCAAGGCUUUGACGGGUAGCCGGCCUGAGAGGGCGACCGGCCACAGUGGGACUGAGAUACGGCCCAGACUCCGACGGGAGGCAGCAGUGGGGAAUAUUGCACAAUGGGCGGAAGCCGGAUGCAGCAACGCCGCGUGCGGGAUGACGGCCUUCGGGUUGUAAACCGCUUUCAGCAGGGGCGAAGCUUGUGGUGACGGUACCUGCAGAAGAAGCACCGGCUAACUACGUG